GAACAACUCUCAGCAACGGAUAUCUCGGCUCUUGCAUCGAUGAAGAACGCAGCGAAAUGCGAUAAGUGGUGUGAAUUGCAGGAUCCCGUGAACCAUCGAGUCUUUGAACGCAAGUUGCGCCCGAGGCCAUCAGGCCAAGGGCACGCCUGCCUGGGCAUUGCGA
RNAcentral lists this ribosomal RNA (163 nucleotides) under Paphiopedilum hangianum. RNAcentral's name for it is "5.8S ribosomal RNA". It matches the Rfam family "5.8S ribosomal RNA". Rfam says of the family: 5.8S ribosomal RNA (5.8S rRNA) is a component of the large subunit of the eukaryotic ribosome. It is transcribed by RNA polymerase I as part of the 45S precursor that also contains 18S and 28S rRNA. The record is from RNAcentral. Lineage: Eukaryota; Viridiplantae; Streptophyta; Magnoliopsida; Asparagales; Orchidaceae.